GAUGAACGCUGGCGGCGUGCCUAAUACAUGCAAGUCGAGCGAACAGAUGAGGAGCUUGCUCCUCUGACGUUAGCGGCGGACGGGUGAGUAACACGUGGAUAACCUACCUAUACGACUGGGAUCACUUCGCGACACCGCCGCUCAUCCCGGAUAAUAUAUUCAACCGCCUGGUUCAAUAGUGAAAGACGGUUUUGCUGUCACUUAUAGAUGGAUCCGCGCCGCAUUAGCUAGUUGGUAAGGUAACGGCUUACCAAGGCAACGAUGCGUAGCCGACCUGAGAGGGUGAUCGGCCACACUGGAACUGAGACACGGUCCAGACUCCUACGGGAGGCAGCAGUAGGGAAUCUUCCGCAAUGGGCGAAAGCCUGACGGAGCAACGCCGCGUGAGUGAUGAAGGUCUUCGGAUCGUAAAACUCUGUUAUUAGGGAAGAACAAAUGUGUAAGUAACUAUGCACGUCUUGACGGUACCUAAUCAGAAAGCCACGGCUAACUACGUG
RNAcentral lists this ribosomal RNA (497 nucleotides) under uncultured bacterium. RNAcentral describes it as "partial 16S ribosomal RNA". It matches the Rfam family "Bacterial small subunit ribosomal RNA", at positions 28 to 507 of the family's 1533-position model. The record is from RNAcentral.